GACGAACGCUGGCGGCGUGCCUAAUACAUGCAAGUAGAACGCUGAAGAGAGGAGCUUGCUCUUCUUGGAUGAGUUGCGAACGGGUGAGUAACGCGUAGGUAACCUGCCUUGUAGCGGGGGAUAACUAUUGGAAACGAUAGCUAAUACCGCAUAACAAUGGAUGACACAUGUCAUUUAUUUGAAAGGGGCAAUUGCUCCACUACAAGAUGGACCUGCGUUGUAAUAGCUAGUAGGUGAGGUAACGGCUCACCUAGGCGACGAUACAUAGCCGACCUGAGAGGGUGAUCGGCCACACUGGGACUGAGACACGGCCCAGACUCCUACGGGAGGCAGCAGUAGGGAAUCUUCGGCAAUGGGGGCAACCCUGACCGAGCAACGCCGCGUGAGUGAAGAAGGUUUUCGGAUCGUAAAGCUCUGUUGUAAGUCAAGAACGAGUGUGAGAGUGGAAAAUUCACACUGUGACGGUAGCUUACCAGAAAGGGACGGCUAACUACGUGCCAGCAGCCGCGGUAAUACGUAGGUCCCGAGCGUUGUCCGGAUUUAUUGGGCGUAAAGCGAGCGCAGGCGGUUUGAUAAGUCUGAAGUUAAAGGCUGUGGCUCAACCAUAGUUCGCUUUGGAAACUGUCAAACUUGAGUGCAGAAGGGGAGAGUGGAAUUCCAUGUGUAGCGGUGAAAUGCGUAGAUAUAUGGAGGAACACCGGUGGCGAAAGCGGCUCUCUGGUCUGUAACUGACGCUGAGGCUCGAAAGCGUGGGGAGCGAACAGGAUUAGAUACCCUGGUAGUCCACGCCGUAAACGAUGAGUGCUAGGUGUUGGAUCCUUUCCGGGAUUCAGUGCCGCAGCUAACGCAUUAAGCACUCCGCCUGGGGAGUACGACCGCAAGGUUGAAACUCAAAGGAAUUGACGGGGGCCCGCACAAGCGGUGGAGCAUGUGGUUUAAUUCGAAGCAACGCGAAGAACCUUACCAGGUCUUGACAUCCCGAUGCUAUUUCUAGAGAUAGAAAGUUACUUCGGUACAUCGGUGACAGGUGGUGCAUGGUUGUCGUCAGCUCGUGUCGUGAGAUGUUGGGUUAAGUCCCGCAACGAGCGCAACCCCUAUUGUUAGUUGCCAUCAUUCAGUUGGGCACUCUAGCGAGACUGCCGGUAAUAAACCGGAGGAAGGUGGGGAUGACGUCAAAUCAUCAUGCCCCUUAUGACCUGGGCUACACACGUGCUACAAUGGUUGGUACAACGAGUUGCGAGUCGGUGACGGCAAGCUAAUCUCUUAAAGCCAAUCUCAGUUCGGAUUGUAGGCUGCAACUCGCCUACAUGAAGUCGGAAUCGCUAGUAAUCGCGGAUCAGCACGCCGCGGUGAAUACGUUCCCGGGCCU
This 1369-nucleotide ribosomal RNA is filed under the name uncultured bacterium. RNAcentral's name for it is "bacterial SSU rRNA". It matches the Rfam family "Bacterial small subunit ribosomal RNA", at positions 28 to 1381 of the family's 1533-position model. The record is from RNAcentral.